This is a long non-coding RNA of Oncorhynchus tshawytscha (Chinook salmon), 591 nucleotides long. NCBI's taxonomy places the organism in Eukaryota, Metazoa, Chordata, Actinopteri, Salmoniformes, Salmonidae. The record is from Ensembl.
CAGGGAGGGGUUCAGACUCAGGGCCUCCAGCUUAAUGAUGAGUUUGGAGGGUACUUUGGUGUUAAAUGCUGAGCUGUAGUCAAUGAGCAGCAUUCUUACAUAGGUAUUCCUCUUGUCCAGAUGGGUUAGGGCAGUGUGCAGUGUGAUGAUUGCAUCGUCUGUGGACCUAUUGGGGCGGUAAGCAAAUUGAAGUGGGUCUAAGGUGGCCAGCAAGAUGGAGGUGAUAUGAUCCUUGACUAGUCUCUCAAAGCACUUCUUGGUGAUAGUCAUUUAGUUCAGUUAUCUUUGCCUUCUUGGGGACAGGAACAAAGGUGGCCAUCUUGAAGCAUGUGGGGACAGCAGAGUGGGAUAGGGAGCGAUUGAAUAUGUCCUUAAACACUCCAGCCAGCUGGUCUGAGCUCUGAGGAUGCGGUUGGGGAUGCCGUCUGGGCCGGCAGCCUGGCGAGGGUUAACACGUUUAACACCAACUACAGUUCACUACUACUGAGAUCUAGAACUACAACACCAACUACAGGUCACUACUACUGAGAUCUAGAACUACAACACCAACUACAGGUCACUACUACUGAGAUCUAGAACUACAACAUCAAC